Molecule: ribosomal RNA, 405 nt
Filed under: uncultured rumen bacterium
Lineage: Bacteria
Description: bacterial SSU rRNA
Rfam family: Bacterial small subunit ribosomal RNA
Source: RNAcentral
GUGGGGAAUAUUGCACAAUGGAGGAAACUCUGAUGCAGCGACGCCGCGUGAGUGAAGAAGUAUUUCGGUAUGUAAAGCUCUAUCAGCAGGAAAGAAAAUGACGGUACCUGACUAAGAAGCCCCGGCUAACUACGUGCCAGCAGCCGCGGUAAUACGUAGGGGGCAAGCGUUAUCCGGAUUUACUGGGUGUAAAGGGAGCGUAGACGGCUUGGCAAGUCUGAAGUGAAAGCUCGGGGCUCAACCCCGGAACUGCUUUGGAAACUGUCGAGCUGGAGUGCAGGAGAGGUAAGCGGAAUUCCUAGUGUAGCGGUGAAAUGCGUAGAUAUUAGGAGGAACACCAGAGGCGAAGGCGGCUUACUGGACUGUAACUGACGUUGAGGCUCGAAGGCGUGGGGAGCAAACAGG